This 497-nucleotide ribosomal RNA is filed under the name uncultured bacterium. Its description in RNAcentral is "partial 16S ribosomal RNA". It matches the Rfam family "Bacterial small subunit ribosomal RNA", at positions 28 to 507 of the family's 1533-position model. The record is from RNAcentral.
GAUGAACGCUGGCGGCGUGCCUAAUACAUGCAAGUCGAGCGAACGGACGAGAAGCUUGCUUCUCUGCUGUUAGCGGCGGACGGGUGAGUAACACGUGGAUAACCUACCUAUAAGACUGGGAUAACUUCGGGAAACCGGAGCUAAUACCGGAUAAUAUUUUGAACCGCAUGGUUCAAAAGUGAAAGACGGUCUUGCUGUCACUUAUAGAUGGAUCCGCGCUGCAUUAGCUAGUUGGUAAGGUAACGGCUUACCAAGGCAACGAUGCAUAGCCGACCUGAGAGGGUGAUCGGCCACACUGGAACUGAGACACGGUCCAGACUCCUACGGGAGGCAGCAGUAGGGAAUCUUCCGCAAUGGGCGAAAGCCUGACGGAGCAACGCCGCGUGAGUGAUGAAGGUCUUCGGAUCGUAAAACUCUGUUAUUAGGGAAGAACAUAUGUGUAAGUAACUGUGCACGUCUUGACGGUACCUAAUCAGAAAGCCACGGCUAACUACGUG